This 111-nucleotide ribosomal RNA is filed under the name Phocaeicola vulgatus. The record is from RNAcentral. Lineage: Bacteria; Pseudomonadati; Bacteroidota; Bacteroidia; Bacteroidales; Bacteroidaceae.
UCAGGUGGCUAUAGCCCAAGGGUUCCACCUCUUCCCAUUCCGAACAGAGAAGUUAAGCCUUGUCACGCCGAUGGUACUGCGUCACAGUGGGAGAGUAGGUAGCCGCCGUUU